GAGCCCUAGGCUCCGUACGUCCUCCCUACACUGUGUUCGCAGUGCUGUCACCUAUGAAAGGUAUUUGGCUGUGUACCAGACGCUUCCGGGUAGUGUUUUGUUGACCUACCGAAGGUAUUUACAAGCACUCUACACCGUAGAUGAUUGCACUGUAUGGUCCUUUUGUAAAUGCCUUCACGCACAUUCACAGCAUUGUCUUUAACGUAGGUCUUGACUGAAAAGACGCCGUGUACGCGCAGGUUGCACUGUCUAUUGGGAGAUGCGUUAAGGUAACAUUGGCUGUAUAGCUCAGUAAGGUUUGCCAUGUAAUAUAUGUGUGUGUGUGUGUGUGCGCAUGUGUACAUAUCUAUGUUUAUAUGCCAGUUUACAGUAACUGGAUCUACUAUAAGGUGUCAUGUUUCGCUGUAAGUCCUUGUGAUUUAACUAGCCAAUAACCUUUUAUUAUGUUUUAUGUGAGCUAUGCUUGUGUGUGAUUUUAUGUAGGUUUGCGUACUGGAGAGAUACCAGGGAGUCCCAUUUCCAUUCAUGUUGAGUGGUGUAUUCCUAGAGGUAAAAGGAAACCUUGUUGUAUUGUAUCUGUAUUGGUUUAGGCUGUAUUUACCAUAAACAAUGGAUUUUAACUGUGUUUGUUUACUCCUGUAGAAAGAUUGCCACUGCUGCUUUGCCUCCUGUAGAUUUAAGUAAUUGUAGCUCUUGCCUCAUUUUGUUUUCUUUAUUUUGUUUUGUUUGUCCGAUUGAUUUGGCCUAAACAUAGGCGUGGCUGGUUUCAUUUAUCUGCCCUCUGUCGUGGUGUGUCGGCAACAGGUGUGGUAGUGGCUGCCCCAGUAUUUUGCUGUGGUAAUGUGUGAUGGUAGUAAUGCUAACAUCUAGCUUUCUUGACCCAGCCAGUUAUUGCCAAUAGCAACCAUAUCUUCCCUUCUCCCCUCUAGAGAAACAGAGUGUUGCAGCUGUUCCGCGGGGCAGGUCGCCGGAUCUGAGUCCUCCUCUUCGUGUACUUCACACAGUAUUUGUAGUGGUAACGUGCACCUCACUAUUUGCAGUGAUCACUCUUUGUAGUACCUGUGCCUAUGCGAGCGUGUGUGUGUGUGUCUGUGAAUAGGCAACAGAAUCUGCAGCACGGGUGGUGUGUCGGUCUCACUCCUCUUCCAGGACAGGUAACCUCUCCUGAACAGCUGAUCAAAUUAACCCUACUUGAUUACAUGUAAUAUUCCUGGUGGCAGCCACUACCUUCCUCUUGCUGGCCUAUUGGGCCUAAUAUGUACUGCACUCCAUCCUGAGAAUCAAACCCAAGACUGACUUUUUACUGAAUUGCUUGUGAAUAAAUAUUGUUUAUUUUUUCAUUGAAA
This is a long non-coding RNA of Alosa alosa (allis shad), 1346 nucleotides long. RefSeq lists it as uncharacterized. NCBI's taxonomy places the organism in Eukaryota, Metazoa, Chordata, Actinopteri, Clupeiformes, Clupeidae. The record is from RefSeq and is a predicted model, not a curated record. The transcript has 2 exons.